RNAcentral lists this long non-coding RNA (469 nucleotides) under Elaeis guineensis (African oil palm). RNAcentral describes it as "long non-coding RNA (EGUI_LNC078859)". The record is from RNAcentral. Lineage: Eukaryota; Viridiplantae; Streptophyta; Magnoliopsida; Arecales; Arecaceae.
UGCUGCAAACAAUUCCACAUAAAUAUGACCAGGAGAACUCUCGGACUUGAGAAGGAAUAAUAUCUAAACCAUGCACUAAAUUUGAAAGAAGGACGAUAAGGACAUGCCUCCUGAGUUGCAAAGUUGAAGAUUUUGUAGCAUAGAAAUCUGGAAUGUGUGAAGAGAAGUAUUACCUGCAUAGGACUGGCAGCUACCAACAGACCGGCAACCCCUCCCCCGACAACUCGACCAUCUAGGCUUGCCAAAGAAACAGUCAUCCCAGUAGAGCGACUUCUUGUACCUCUAUUAUCAAUGGGCAUAAAUGAUUCAGAUAAGAAGAGUAACUCAAAUCGACCCUACAAAAGCAGUCCAGUGAACAUAUAAUAUAUUAAUAGGCAAUAAAAGUACAAGAUCAAAUCAUAGGCAUAACAGCAGAAAGCUGAUGAAUAUAGGAAGAUAGUAUUAUGGCAAAUAUUUCAAAUUAGAGGAA